CAGGCCUAACACAUGCAAGUCGAACGAACACGGUUUACGGAUACUUCGGUUGAAGUAAACCAUCUGUUAGUGGCAAACGGGUGAGUAACGCAUAAGUAACCUACCCUUCAGAUCGGGAUAACGGUUCGAAAGGAUCGCUAAUACCGAAUACUCUCCUUAGAUCUUCGGGUCUUUGGAGGAAAUGUUUUUUCGCUGAAGAAUGGGCUUAUGUCUGAUUAGCUUGUUAGUAGGGUAAAGGCCUACCAAGGCGACGAUCAGUAGCUGGUCUUAGAGGAUGAUCAGCCACACUGGGACUGAGAUACGGCCCAGACUCCUACGGGAGGCAGCAGUGAGGAAUAUUGCGCAAUGGGCGAAAGCCUGACGCAGCAACGCCGCGUGAGCGAUGACGCCUCUAGGGGCGUAAAGCUCUGUCAAGAGGGAAGAUUAUGACGGUACCUCUGAAGGAAGUCACGGCUAAUUACGUGCCAGCAGCCGCGGUAAUACGUAAGUGGCUAGCGUUAUCCGGAAUUAUUGGGCAUAAAGCGUACGCAGGCGGUUGUCUAAGUCAAAUGUUAAAUCCUGUCGCUCAACGAUAGUCCGCAUUUGAAACUGGGCAACUAGAGAUUAGAAGAGGAAAGCGGAACUCACAGUGUAGCGGUGAAAUGCGUAG
This 649-nucleotide ribosomal RNA is filed under the name uncultured bacterium. RNAcentral describes it as "bacterial SSU rRNA". It matches the Rfam family "Bacterial small subunit ribosomal RNA", at positions 43 to 693 of the family's 1533-position model. The record is from RNAcentral.